AGAAUGAGUUAAAUCUAUAUAAACUACUAUAAAUAUAUUUUAUAUUGAAAUAUAAAUGAUAUAAUAAAAUUCGUCCUUGAGACAAGGGCUUGAAAGAAACAAAAACUUUCAAAAACAAAUUUGAAAAAGUUCUUGACAAAGAACAACAAAUUUGAUAAGAUAUAAAAGUCGCUGAGGCGAUGUGGUCUUUGAAAAUUAAACAGAGAAUUAACAAGAAACAUUCUUGUAACAGCCAGUAAGAUAAGGUAAUAUACCUUGUCAAUGAAUUUGAGAAGAGAUUAAACUUUUAAAUUUAGAGUUUGAUCCUGGCUCAGACGAACGCUGGCGGCGUGCUUAACACAUGCAAGUCGAGCGAUGAAGCUUCCUUCGGGAAGUGAAUUAGCGGCGGACGGGUGAGUAACACGUGGGUAACUGCCUCAAAGUGGGGGAUAGCCUUCCGAAAGGAAGAUUAAUACCGCAUAAUAUAAGAGAAUCGCAUGAUUUUUUUAUCAAAGAUUUAUUGCUUUGAGAUGGACCCGCGGCGCAUUAGCUAGUUGGUAAGGUAACGGCUUACCAAGGCAACGAUGCGUAGCCGACCUGAGAGGGUGAUCGGCCACAUUGGAACUGAGACACGGUCCAGACUCCUACGGGAGGCAGCAGUGGGGAAUAUUGCGCAAUGGGGGAAACCCUGACGCAGCAACGCCGCGUGGGUGAUGAAGGUCUUCGGAUUGUAAAGCCCUGUUUUCUAGGACGAUAAUGACGGUACUAGAGGAGGAAGCCACGGCUAACUACGUGCCAGCAGCCGCGGUAAUACGUAGGUGGCGAGCGUUGUCCGGAUUUACUGGGCGUAAAGGGUGCGUAGGCGGAUGUUUAAGUGGGAUGUGAAAUCCCCGGGCUUAACCUGGGGGCUGCAUUCCAAACUGGAUAUCUAGAGUGCAGGAGAGGAAAGCGGAAUUCCUAGUGUAGCGGUGAAAUGCGUAGAGAUUAGGAAGAACACCAGUGGCGAAGGCGGCUUUCUGGACUGUAACUGACGCUGAGGCACGAAAGCGUGGGUAGCAAACAGGAUUAGAUACCCUGGUAGUCCACGCCGUAAACGAUGGAUACUAGGUGUAGGGGGUAUCAACUCCCCCUGUGCCGCAGUUAACACAAUAAGUAUCCCGCCUGGGGAGUACGGUCGCAAGAUUAAAACUCAAAGGAAUUGACGGGGGCCCGCACAAGCAGCGGAGCAUGUGGUUUAAUUCGAAGCAACGCGAAGAACCUUACCUGGACUUGACAUCCCUUGCAUAGCCUAGAGAUAGGUGAAGCCCUUCGGGGCAAGGAGACAGGUGGUGCAUGGUUGUCGUCAGCUCGUGUCGUGAGAUGUUAGGUUAAGUCCUGCAACGAGCGCAACCCUUGUUAUUAGUUGCUACCAUUAAGUUGAGCACUCUAAUGAGACUGCCUGGGUAACCAGGAGGAAGGUGGGGAUGACGUCAAAUCAUCAUGCCCCUUAUGUCCAGGGCUACACACGUGCUACAAUGGUAGGUACAAUAAGACGCAAGACCGUGAGGUGGAGCAAAACUUAUAAAACCUAUCUCAGUUCGGAUUGUAGGCUGCAACUCGCCUACAUGAAGCUGGAGUUGCUAGUAAUCGCGAAUCAGAAUGUCGCGGUGAAUACGUUCCCGGGCCUUGUACACACCGCCCGUCACACCAUGAGAGCUGGUAACACCCGAAGUCCGUGAGGUAACCGUAAGGAGCCAGCGGCCGAAGGUGGGAUUAGUGAUUGGGGUGAAGUCGUAACAAGGUAGCCGUAGGAGAACCUGCGGCUGGAUCACCUCCUUUCUAAGGAGAAUAGGAAGAAGAAAAUUCUUUCUAAAGGCUGAAUUCUCUGUUUAAUUUUGAGAGACCAUUCUCUCAAAAUGGAGUUAAACAUUAGUUUGUUUAGCUAAGUGAUUGUACCAAAUAAUAGAUUUGGAACAUCAACUUAUGUUCUUUGAAAAUUGCACAGUGAAUAAGUAAAGCUAAAGGUAUAAAAAUCCUUUGUAAGAAUACAAUUUUAAGGUCAAGCUACAAAGGGCGCAUGGUGAAUGCCUUGGCACUAGGA
RNAcentral lists this ribosomal RNA (2059 nucleotides) under Clostridium botulinum NCTC 2916. RNAcentral's name for it is "bacterial SSU rRNA". The stretch from base 288 to 1797 matches the Rfam family "Bacterial small subunit ribosomal RNA". The record is from RNAcentral. Lineage: Bacteria; Bacillati; Bacillota; Clostridia; Eubacteriales; Clostridiaceae.